UACAGAGGUCCCGAGCGUUGUUCGGAUUCACUGGGCGUAAAGGGUGCGUAGGCGGCCUGGUAAGUUUGAUGUGAAAGCUCAGGGCUCAACCCUGAAAUGGCAUUGAAUACUACUGUGCUGGAGGUUUGGAGGGGGGACUGGAAUUCUUGGUGUAGCAGUGAAAUGCGUAGAUAUCAAGAGGAACACCAGUGGCGAAGGCGAGUCCCUGGACAACACCUGACACUGAGGCACGAAAGCUAGGGGAGCAAACAGG
Molecule: ribosomal RNA, 253 nt
Filed under: uncultured bacterium
Lineage: Bacteria
Description: partial 16S ribosomal RNA
Rfam family: Bacterial small subunit ribosomal RNA
Source: RNAcentral